GGGGCUGUGGCGCAGUGGUAGCGCACUUGUAUGGCAUACAAGGGGUCGAGGGUUCGAAUCCCUCCAGCUCCACCA
RNAcentral lists this transfer RNA (75 nucleotides) under bacterium. RNAcentral's name for it is "tRNA-Ala". It matches the Rfam family "tRNA". Rfam says of the family: Transfer RNA (tRNA) molecules are approximately 80 nucleotides in length. Their secondary structure includes four short double-helical elements and three loops (D, anti-codon, and T loops). Further hydrogen bonds mediate the characteristic L-shaped molecular structure. tRNAs have two regions of fundamental functional importance: the anti-codon, which is responsible for specific mRNA codon recognition, and the 3' end, to which the tRNAs corresponding amino acid is attached (by aminoacyl-tRNA synthetases). tRNAs cope with the degeneracy of the genetic code in two manners: having more than one tRNA (with a specific anti-codon) for a particular amino acid; and 'wobble' base-pairing, i.e. permitting non-standard base-pairing at the 3rd anti-codon position. The record is from RNAcentral.